This 492-nucleotide ribosomal RNA is filed under the name uncultured bacterium. Its description in RNAcentral is "partial 16S ribosomal RNA". It matches the Rfam family "Bacterial small subunit ribosomal RNA", at positions 29 to 507 of the family's 1533-position model. The record is from RNAcentral.
AGUGAACGCUGGCGGUAGGCCUAACACAUGCAAGUCGAACGGCAGCACAGUAAGAGCUUGCUCUUACGGGUGGCGAGUGGCGGACGGGUGAGGAAUACAUCGGAAUCUACUUUUUCGUGGGGGAUAACGUAGGGAAACUUACGCUAAUACCGCAUACGACCUACGGGUGAAAGCAGGGGAUCUUCGGACCUUGCGCGAUUGAAUGAGCCGAUGUCGGAUUAGCUAGUUGGCGGGGUAAAGGCCCACCAAGGCGACGAUCCGUAGCCGGUGUGAGAGGAUGAUUAGCCACACUGGAACUGAGACACGGUCCAGACUCCUAAGGGAGGCAGCAGUGGGGAAUAUUGGACAAUGGGGGCAAGCCUGAUCCAGCCAGACCGCGUGGGUGAAGAAGGCCUUCGGGUUGUAAAGACCUUUUGUUGGGAAAGAAAAGCAGCAGGUUAAUACCCCGCCGUUCUGACGGUACCCAAAGAAUAAGCACCGGCUAACUUCGUG